Molecule: long non-coding RNA, 375 nt
Filed under: Pan troglodytes (chimpanzee)
Lineage: Eukaryota; Metazoa; Chordata; Mammalia; Primates; Hominidae
Description: lincRNA
Source: RNAcentral
CCUCCUUUUCUUUGUCAUGCAUGCAUAUUAAUUGAGGAUGGAGAAUACCUACGCUUGUUCAGGCCAGCCAACAUACGACAGUUUACUUCAAGAGAGGAGACAUGGGUUGAAUGCUGAAAACACGCACAGCCAAGCCCAGAUGCCAGUCUUGUUAGCUGCCUUCCUUUACCUUCAAGAGUGGGCUGAAGCUUGUCCAAUCUUUCAAGGUUGCUGAAGACUGUAUGAUGGAAGUCAUCUGCAUUGGGAAAGAAAUUAAUGGAGAGAGGAGAAAACUUGAGAAUCCACACUACUCACCCUGCAGGGCCAAGAACUCUGUCUCCCAUGCAUUGCUGUCCUGUCUCAGUAUUUCCUGUGACCACCUCCUUUUUCAACUGA